This 64-nucleotide transfer RNA is filed under the name Loasa acanthifolia. RNAcentral describes it as "partial tRNA-Leu". RNAcentral also lists the same sequence under 1 other name. The record is from RNAcentral. Lineage: Eukaryota; Viridiplantae; Streptophyta; Magnoliopsida; Cornales; Loasaceae.
CGGACGAGAAUAAAGAUAGAGUCCCAUUCCACAUGUCAAUACCGACAACAAUGCAAUUUAUAGU